Molecule: ribosomal RNA, 348 nt
Filed under: uncultured bacterium
Lineage: Bacteria
Description: bacterial SSU rRNA
Rfam family: Bacterial small subunit ribosomal RNA
Source: RNAcentral
GAGCGAACGCUGGCGGCAGGCCUAAUACAUGCAAGUCGAACGCACCUUCGGGUGAGUGGCGGACGAGUGAGUAACGCGUGGGAACGUGCCCAAAGGUACGGAACAACUGAGGGAAACUUCAGCUAAUACCGUAUGUGCCCUUCGGGGAAAGAUUUAUCGCCGUUUGGAGCGGCCCGCGUUGGAUUAGCUAGUUGGUGGGGUAAAGGCCCACCAAGGCUACGAUCCAUAGCUGGUCUGAGAGGAUGAUCAGCCACACUGGGACUGAGACACGGCCCAGACUCCUACGGGAGGCAGCAGUAGGGAAUCUUGCGCAAUGGGCGAAAGCCUGACGCAGCCAUGCCGCGUGAA